UACGUAGGGUGCAAGCGUUAAUCGGAAUUACUGGGCGUAAAGCGUGCGCAGGCGGUCCGUUAAGACAGAUGUGAAAUCCCCGGGCUCAACCUGGGAAUGGCAUUUGGGACUGCAAGGCUGGAGUGCGGCAGAGGAGACUGGAAUUCCUGGUGUAGCAGUGAAAUGCGCAGAUAUCAGGAGGAACACCGGUGGCGAAGGCGGGUCUCUGGGCCGAUACUGACGCUGAGGAGCGAAAGCAUGGGGAGCGAACAGG
RNAcentral lists this ribosomal RNA (253 nucleotides) under uncultured bacterium. RNAcentral's name for it is "partial 16S ribosomal RNA". It matches the Rfam family "Bacterial small subunit ribosomal RNA", at positions 524 to 776 of the family's 1533-position model. The record is from RNAcentral.